RNAcentral lists this ribosomal RNA (468 nucleotides) under uncultured bacterium. Its description in RNAcentral is "partial 16S ribosomal RNA". It matches the Rfam family "Bacterial small subunit ribosomal RNA", at positions 28 to 507 of the family's 1533-position model. The record is from RNAcentral.
GACGAACGCUGGCGGCGUGCUUAACACAUGCAAGUCGAACGGAAAGGCCCUGCUUUUGUGGGGUGCUCGAGUGGCGCACGGGUGAGUAACACGUGAGUAACCUGCCCUUGUCUUUGGGAUAACUUUAGGAAACUGGGGCUAAUACCGGAUAGGAGCUCCUGCUGCAUGGUGGGGGUUGGAAAGAUUCGGCGGUUGGGGAUGGACUCGCGGCUUAUCAGCUUGUUGGUGGGGUAGUGGCUUACCAAGGUUUUGACGGGUAGCCGGCCUGAGAGGGUGACCGGCCACAUUGGGACUGCGAUACGGCCCAGACGCGUACGGUAGGCAGCAGUGGGGAAUAUUGCAGAAUGGGCGGAAGCCUGAUGCAGCAACGCCGCGUGCGGGAUGACGUCCUUCGGGGUGUAAACCGCUUUCGCCUGUGACGAAGCGUGAGUGACGGUAAUGGGUAAAGAAGCACCGGCUAACUACGUG